AACAUUGAAGUAAAAUUUACAAUUAGUUUCGACCUAAUAUUUAGGAAUAAUUCCCUAUGUUU
Molecule: transfer RNA, 62 nt
Filed under: Tricentrus sp. EMHAU-15062504
Lineage: Eukaryota; Metazoa; Arthropoda; Insecta; Hemiptera; Membracidae
Also listed under: 2 other names
Description: tRNA-Arg
Source: RNAcentral